RNAcentral lists this ribosomal RNA (565 nucleotides) under Escherichia coli. RNAcentral describes it as "bacterial LSU rRNA". It matches the Rfam family "Bacterial large subunit ribosomal RNA", at positions 1116 to 1682 of the family's 2925-position model. The record is from RNAcentral. Lineage: Bacteria; Pseudomonadati; Pseudomonadota; Gammaproteobacteria; Enterobacterales; Enterobacteriaceae.
CCAUCAUUUAAAGAAAGCGUAAUAGCUCACUGGUCGAGUCGGCCUGCGCGGAAGAUGUAACGGGGCUAAACCAUGCACCGAAGCUGCGGCAGCGACGCUUAUGCGUUGUUGGGUAGGGGAGCGUUCUGUAAGCCUGUGAAGGUGUACUGUGAGGUAUGCUGGAGGUAUCAGAAGUGCGAAUGCUGACAUAAGUAACGAUAAAGCGGGUGAAAAGCCCGCUCGCCGGAAGACCAAGGGUUCCUGUCCAACGUUAAUCGGGGCAGGGUGAGUCGACCCCUAAGGCGAGGCCGAAAGGCGUAGUCGAUGGGAAACAGGUUAAUAUUCCUGUACUUGGUGUUACUGCGAAGGGGGGACGGAGAAGGCUAUGUUGGCCGGGCGACGGUUGUCCCGGUUUAAGCGUGUAGGCUGGUUUUCCAGGCAAAUCCGGAAAAUCAAGGCUGAGGCGUGAUGACGAGGCACUACGGUGCUGAAGCAACAAAUGCCCUGCUUCCAGGAAAAGCCUCUAAGCAUCAGGUAACAUCAAAUCGUACCCCAAACCGACACAGGUGGUCAGGUAGAGAAUACC